This 2076-nucleotide long non-coding RNA is filed under the name Nicotiana benthamiana. RNAcentral describes it as "long non-coding RNA (NBEN_LNC034004)". Lineage: Eukaryota; Viridiplantae; Streptophyta; Magnoliopsida; Solanales; Solanaceae. The record is from RNAcentral.
AAUCAUCAUUUUGACUGCUAAGUUAAGGAAAGGAUCAGUCAGAUAAAAAAGAUUAGCAAUGAGCUUACAAUCCCCAAAAAAGUCCUACCUGUCAACUAGUAGCCAUAUAACUGAUUCAUUCAAUAGUUUAAGUUUAAACCAUGGAUCCCCACCUAAACUCGCAACAUAUAAGGCACAUUUCAGAGCUGACCUCAGAACACAAUAACACGACUAGGAAAGAAAUAAAAUUGCGUCGAGCUAAUCAUGACUUAAAUAUUACUCAUCAUCCCUAAGUACACUUAUCAACAUUUCAACAAAAGCACUUCUGAAAUUAAGUAUUACAGCACAAGUAAAUGAAGAAAGCAAAUAUAACUGACUAUAGACUACUUUAUAUAUUAUUCCAUACUUCAAUCUCCAACUUUAUUGCAUUUAGAUGAUGACCAAGUGUCGUUAGGAAUACCUGGAAGUGAAAAUAAAACCAAAUCAAGUAUUAGCCUUGAAAGUUGAGGGUCAGUGAUAGAUUAACAUAUUCAAAAACAGAAACAGGCGAGGUCAUCCCAGAAAUCUCAAUGAAACAGUAAAUUUUGCUCUAUUUGAAGUGGAAACUUUUGAAAGUCAUCGAUUACAACCCUUCUACUUCGAAUGAACAACUUCAAAUUUCAGAAAAUCCUACAGAAAAAUGUGUAGAAAUAUUUCACUAGCUAAUGCCCCCUUUCAAGACUCUGUUUCGCUUGGUUCCUCGUUUUUUUUUCUUACCUUCACAAGGCCAUCAUACAGUGCCUUUAUAGGUAAGAAUUAGGACAGGCUUCAGAAAUUCAUUUUUGCCCUUUAGUCCCUUAUUUUUUGACUUUUAACCAAGUCAUAUAAUGAAGCUUUAGUAACAUAUCCCUACUACAAGCUUCCUGAUUCUGUUAUGAAAGGUUCUUUGAUCCUAGACUACCCAAAAUGCCCCCUUAGCCUGUCAAUGUCUAAACAAACACAUGCAAGUUGACCCAAUACGGACGAGUCUAAAUGGACUAAUGUAAACCUUUUGUUGGGGCCUUCUGAUUUUUGAGCCCCAAACGAAUUCAAUGGGAUAGGUAGGCUUGGCUAAAAGAGAGAUCCCAACCCCCUUUUCUAAAAUAACCCAGAAGGUUAACCAUGGCUAACUUCUCAGUAGAUUAAUUAACCCAUUCUAUUCUAACUCAAACAAAAUAAAAAAGAAUAAACCAAACUGAAGACUACUGGUACGCAAAACUAACUACUGAAUGACAAAAACAAAACAAAAAAAAUCAGGAUGACCAAAGAAAAGGAAAUUAAGUCAGGAACAAAUGGAGAAAUCAGAGAAGCCUAAUGAAAGAAAGGAGAACACAAGAAAGAAGGAGAGACUUAUCAGAUACUGAAUUUGAAACCCACUCGAGACCCAACUUUGCCUCACUUGCACACAAUCGACUAUCCCUGUACUUAGCCUUUGCUUGCAUGUGAACCGGGUGAAAGCUUGAUUUGAGCGAAGAUCAAAAGAGGCAAGAUGAAGUGAGUUGCAGUGCUACAUGUGACCCACGAUUUGGGAGAGAAGGAAGAGACAAAGGUGGAUUUUGAAUGGAAGUGUAACAGUGGUCACAUGGUCCAGUUUUGAGGUUUAUUCGAAGGCAGCGCCGCCGUACGCGGUGGCACGGUUAUUUAAGGUUUGAAUUAUUUGAGAAAUCCGGGUGGGAUUUCAUGGAAACAUGGCUCGGAUUUUGAAAGAGGAGGGUGAGAUGAUCGAGUUGUGUACGGCAUGGAGAGUUUGGAUGCCGGUCACCGCCGUGGGCAAUUUCCGGCGGUGGCAAUGGUGGUGCAGAUGGGUGUGAUAAAGAAGACAAGUCGUUUGAGAUCCAUAGUUAAUGUGACAAUGAUUGGACAUUUUAAUUUAACAUGGGGAGGCUAUUUGAGCCGUUGGAUGAGAUAAAAUGGAGGGACGGGAUUGGCUUUCAUUGGGGAACUCGGAACUGCAUCGUUUUGUGUUGGACUCGGGCUAGGGUGGAAUUUUAGCCGGGUACCACUGGCCCUGGAAUGGGGCGUGGACUUGGGAAAGGAUUUUGGGCCCCAAUUUUUUUUAACAAUGGCCCAAGUUGGGUC